Molecule: transfer RNA, 75 nt
Filed under: Schistocerca americana (American grasshopper)
Lineage: Eukaryota; Metazoa; Arthropoda; Insecta; Orthoptera; Acrididae
Also listed under: 3 other names
Description: tRNA-Thr
Rfam family: tRNA
About the family: Transfer RNA (tRNA) molecules are approximately 80 nucleotides in length. Their secondary structure includes four short double-helical elements and three loops (D, anti-codon, and T loops). Further hydrogen bonds mediate the characteristic L-shaped molecular structure. tRNAs have two regions of fundamental functional importance: the anti-codon, which is responsible for specific mRNA codon recognition, and the 3' end, to which the tRNAs corresponding amino acid is attached (by aminoacyl-tRNA synthetases). tRNAs cope with the degeneracy of the genetic code in two manners: having more than one tRNA (with a specific anti-codon) for a particular amino acid; and 'wobble' base-pairing, i.e. permitting non-standard base-pairing at the 3rd anti-codon position.
Source: RNAcentral
GCCCUCGGUGGCUCAGAUGGACAGAGCGUCUGCCAUGUAAGCAGGAGAUCCUGGGUUCGAGUCCCGGUCGGGGCA